AGGUAAGCUACUAAGUGCAAUCGGUGGAUGCCUGGGCACCAAGAGCCGAUGAAGGACGUGGGAAUCUGCGAUAUGCCUCGGGGAGUCGAUAACCAGGCUGUGAUCCGGGGAUUUCCGAAUAGGGAAACCUUGAAGUUACCGGAGUUAUGUCCGGCGACCUCUGCCUGAAUGUAUAGGGCAGUUGGAGGGAACGCGGGGAAGUGAAACAUCUUAGUACCCGUAGGAGAAGAAAACAAUUGUGAUUCCGUGAGUAGUGGCGAGCGAAAGCGGAGGAGGCUAAACCAUGCGUGUGUGUGAGCCGGCAGGUGUUGCAUGUGUGGGGUUGUGGGACUGUUUGAACCUUGCUGCCGUGGGGUUGACGAGUGAUAAAUGACUGUUGAAGUGGAAGCAUUCUGGGAAGGUGCGGUAGAGAAGGUGAAACCCCUGUAGACGUAAGACAGUCACUCGUGAAUGGUAUCCCAAGUAAUGCGGAACUCCUGAAAUUCUGCAUGAAUCUGGCGGGACCACCCGUUAAGCCUAAAUACUCCUUGGUGACCGAUAGCGGACAAGUACCGUGAGGGAAAGGUGAAAAGUACCCCGGGAGGGGAGUGAAAUAGUACCUGAAACCGGUUGCAUACAAUCCGUCGGAGCGACGGCUUUUGGUCAUUGUGACGGCGUGCCUUUUGAAGAAUGAGCCUGCGAGUUAGUGGUGUGUGGCGAGGUUAACCCGGGUGGGGUAGCCGUAGCGAAAGCGAGUCCGAAUAGGGCGAUUUGAGUCGCAUGCUCUAGACCCGAAGCGGUGUGAUCUAUCCAUGGCCAGGGUGAAGCGACGGUAAGACGUCGUGGAGGCCCGAACCGACCAGGGUUGAAAACCUGGCGGAUGAGCUGUGGAUAGGGGUGAAAGGCCAAUCAAACACCGUGAUAGCUGGUUCUCCCCGAAAUGCAUUUAGGUGCAGCGUUGCGUGUUUCUUGCCGGAGGUAGAGCACUGGAUGGUCUAGGGGGCUUACCAGCUUACUGAAAUCAGCCAAACUCCGAAUGCCGGUAAGUGAGAGCGUGGCAGUGAGACUGCGGGCGAUAAGGUUCGUAGUCGAGAGGGAAACAGCCCAGAUCAUCAGCUAAGGCCCCUAAGCGGUAACUAAGUGGAAAAGGAUGUGGAGUUGCGGUGACAACCAGGAGGUUGGCUUGGAAGCAGCCAUCCUUGAAAGAGUGCGUAAUAGCUCACUGGUCAAGUGAUUCUGCGCCGACAAUUUAGCGGGGCUCAAGUUAUCCGCCGAAGCUGUGGCAAUCACACGAUGCCUGAUUCCUUGUGGAUCCAGGUGUGUGGUUGGGUAGGGGAGCGUCGGGUGUGCGGGGAAGCGUUGGGGUGACCUGGCGUGGAGUGCACUCGAGUGAGAAUGCAGGCAUGAGUAGCGAAUGACGGGUGAGAAACCCGUCCGCCGAAUAUCCAAGGGUUCCAGGGUCAAGCUAAUCUGCCCUGGGUGAGUCGGGACCUAAGGCGAGGCCGACAGGCGUAGUCGAUGGACAACGGGUUGAUAUUCCCGUACCGGCGGAGCAACGCCCGUGUCGAAUCGCGUGAUGCUAAGCACGCAAGCUGUCCUGGCGCGCCUUCGGGUGUGUGGGGUGGUGAGUCUGUGAACCGAUCGUGUAGUAGGCAAGCUGCGGAGGGACGCAGGGAGGUAGCCGUACCGGGUGAUGGUUGUCCCGGGGUAAGUGUUCGAGGGUGUCGGGUAGGUAAAUCCGUCCGGCAUAUAGCCUGAGGCAUGAUGCAUAGACCGUUAAUGGUUGAAUUCGGUGAUCCUGUGCUGCCUAGAAAAUCUUCGUGAGCGAGUUGUGAGCCGCCCGUACCCUAAACCGACACAGGUGGAUGAGUAGAGAAUACUAAGGCGAUCGAGAUAAUCGUGGUGAAGGAACUCGGCAAAAUACCCCCGUAACUUCGGGAUAAGGGGGACCGGAGGGGUGCAAGCCCUGAGGGUCGCAGAGACCACGCCCAAGCGACUGUUUACCAAAAACACAGGUCCGUGCCAAGUUGUAAGACGAUGUAUACGGACUGACUCCUGCCCGGUGCUGGAAGGUUAAGGGGAACUGUUAGCGUAUGCGAAGCGGUGAACUUAAGCCCCAGUAAACGGCGGUGGUAACUAUAACCAUCCUAAGGUAGCGAAAUUCCUUGUCGGGUAAGUUCCGACCUGCACGAAUGGAGUAACGAUUUGGGCACUGUCUCCACCACGAACUCGGCGAAAUUGCAUUACGAGUAAAGAUGCUCGUUACGCGCAGCAGGACGGAAAGACCCCGGGACCUUUACUAUAGUUUGGUAUUGGUGAUCGGGACGACUUGUGUAGGAUAGGUGGGAGACUGUGAAAUCAUCACGCUAGUGGUGGUGGAGUCAUCGUUGAAAUACCACUCUGGUCGUUCUGGUUAUCUAACCUGGGACCAUGAUCUGGUUCAGGGACAGUGCCUGAUGGGUAGUUUGACUGGGGCGGUCGCCUCCUAAAAGGUAACGGAGGCGCCCAAAGGUUCCCUCAGCCUGGUUGGCAAUCAGGUGUUGAGUGUAAAUGCACAAGGGAGCUUGACUGUGAGACAGACAUGUCGAGCAGGGACGAAAGUCGGGAUUAGUGAUCUUACGGUGGCAGGUGGAAGCGCCGUAACUCAACGGAUAAAAGGUACCCCGGGGAUAACAGGCUGAUCUUGCCCGAGCGCUCACAGCGACGGCAUGGUUUGGCACCUCGAUGUCGGCUCGUCGCAUCCUGGGGCUGGAGUCGGUCCCAAGGGUUGGGCUGUUCGCCCAUUAAAGCGGCACGCGAGCUGGGUUCAGAACGUCGUGAGACAGUUCGGUCCCUAUCCGCUGCGCGCGUAGGAAUCUUGAGAAGAGCUGUCCUUAGUACGAGAGGACCGGGACGGACUAACCUCUGGUGUGCCAGUUGUUCUGCCAAGAGCACGGCUGGUUGGCUACGUUGGGAAGUGAUAACCGCUGAAAGCAUCUAAGUGGGAAGCACGCUUCAAGAUGAGGAUUCCCACACCCUUGCGAGGGUGGUAAGGUCCCCGACAGAUCAUCGGGUUGAUAGGCCGGACGUGGAAGCACAGUAAUGUGUGGAGCUGACCGGUACUAAUAGACCGAGGGCUUACCCCC
RNAcentral lists this ribosomal RNA (3104 nucleotides) under Propionimicrobium sp. PCR01-08-3. RNAcentral describes it as "23S ribosomal RNA". It matches the Rfam family "Bacterial large subunit ribosomal RNA". The record is from RNAcentral. Lineage: Bacteria; Bacillati; Actinomycetota; Actinomycetes; Propionibacteriales; Propionibacteriaceae.